ACCAACCUCUCCUAGCUUCAAACCUUUCUUCUGCAGCUUUCUCACCUCUCUUAGCCUUCAUAGAAUUGAAGAAAGUUAGAGCCUUGCUCUGGAUUGGGCUUUGGCUUAAGGGCAUGUAAUGGCUGGUUGAUAAUUGUGG
Aethalodelphis obliquidens (Pacific white-sided dolphin) is the source of this 139-nucleotide long non-coding RNA. RefSeq lists it as uncharacterized. The record is from RefSeq and is a predicted model, not a curated record. Lineage: Eukaryota; Metazoa; Chordata; Mammalia; Artiodactyla; Delphinidae. The transcript is spliced from 3 exons.